This 74-nucleotide transfer RNA is filed under the name Candidatus Omnitrophota bacterium. Its description in RNAcentral is "Candidatus Omnitrophica bacterium (aquatic metagenome) tRNA-Arg". It matches the Rfam family "tRNA". Rfam says of the family: Transfer RNA (tRNA) molecules are approximately 80 nucleotides in length. Their secondary structure includes four short double-helical elements and three loops (D, anti-codon, and T loops). The record is from RNAcentral. Lineage: Bacteria; Pseudomonadati; Candidatus Omnitrophota.
GUCCCAGUAGCUCAGCUGGAUAGAGCACCUGCCUUCUAAGCCGGUGGCCGCAGGUUCGAAUCCUGCCUGGGACG